RNAcentral lists this ribosomal RNA (486 nucleotides) under uncultured bacterium. RNAcentral's name for it is "partial 16S ribosomal RNA". It matches the Rfam family "Bacterial small subunit ribosomal RNA", at positions 29 to 507 of the family's 1533-position model. The record is from RNAcentral.
AUUGAACGCUGGCGGCAUGCCUUACACAUGCAAGUCGAACGGCAGCACGGGUGCUUGCACCUGGUGGCGAGUGGCGAACGGGUGAGUAAUACAUCGGAACAUGUCCUGUAGUGGGGGAUAGCCCGGCGAAAGCCGGAUUAAUACCGCAUACGAUCUACGGAUGAAAGCGGGGGACCUUCGGGCCUCGCGCUAUAGGGUUGGCCGAUGGCUGAUUAGCUAGUUGGUGGGGUAAAGGCCUACCAAGGCGGCGAUCAGUAGCUGGUCUGAGAGGACGACCAGCCACACUGGGAGUGAGACACGGCCCAGGCUCCUACGGGAGGCAGCAGUGGGGAAUUUUGGGCAAUGGGGGAAAGCCUGGUCCAGCAAUGGCGAGUGUGUUGAGGAAGCCUUCGGGUUGUAAAGCCCUUUUGUCCGGAAAGAAAUCCUUGGGCCUAAUACGGUCGGGGGAUGACGGUACCGGAAGAAUAAGCACCGGCUAACUACGUG